GCGGCUGUGGCGGAACGGUAGACGCGCUAUCUUCAGACGGUAGUGUUUAUGACGUGUGAGUUCAAAUCUCAUCAGCCGCACCA
This 83-nucleotide transfer RNA is filed under the name Acholeplasmataceae bacterium. RNAcentral's name for it is "tRNA-Leu". It matches the Rfam family "tRNA". Rfam says of the family: Transfer RNA (tRNA) molecules are approximately 80 nucleotides in length. Their secondary structure includes four short double-helical elements and three loops (D, anti-codon, and T loops). The record is from RNAcentral. Lineage: Bacteria; Bacillati; Mycoplasmatota; Mollicutes; Acholeplasmatales; Acholeplasmataceae. RNAcentral also lists the same sequence under 1 other name.